Molecule: ribosomal RNA, 477 nt
Filed under: uncultured bacterium
Lineage: Bacteria
Description: partial 16S ribosomal RNA
Rfam family: Bacterial small subunit ribosomal RNA
Source: RNAcentral
GAUUAACGCUGGCGGCGUGCAUAACACAUGCAAGUCGAACGAUGAAACUUAGUAGACUUCUUCGGAAAGACACUAAGCGGAUUAGUGGCGAACGGGUGAGUAACGCGUGAGUAACCUGCCUUACACAAGGGGAUAGCCUUUGGAAACGAAGAAUAAUACCCUAUAAAACUAUAAAAGCACAUGCUAGAAUGGUCAAAGUGCUAGCGGUGUAAGAUGGACUUGCGUCUGAUUAGCUAGUUGGUGAGAUAAAAGCUCACCAAGGCAACGAUCAGUAGCCGGCUUGAGAGAGUGUACGGCCACAUUGGGACUGAGACACGGCCCAGACUCCUACGGGAGGCAGCAGUGGGGAAUGUUGCACAAUGGGGGAAACCCUGAUGCAGCGACGCCGCGUGAUUGAGAAGGCCUUCGGGUUGUAAAAAUCUUUUGUAUAGGAAGAAAAUGACAGUACUAUACGAAUAAGGUCCGGCUAAUUACGUG